This 385-nucleotide ribosomal RNA is filed under the name uncultured bacterium. Its description in RNAcentral is "bacterial SSU rRNA". It matches the Rfam family "Bacterial small subunit ribosomal RNA", at positions 790 to 1167 of the family's 1533-position model. The record is from RNAcentral.
GUAGUCCAAGCCGUAAACGAUGAGCACUAGGGAGAGGAGACCCCGAUGUCUUCUCUCCUGGAGCAAAUGUAUUAAGUGCUCCGCCUGGGGAGUACAGUCGCAAGGCCGAAACUCAAAGGAAUUGACGGGGGCUCACACAAGCGGUGGAGCAUGUGGUUCAAUUCGAAGCAACGCGCAAAACCUUACCUGGGCUUGACAUGCACGGAUUAGCCCCUGGAAACAGGGGUGACGCUCGAAAGGGUGGAACGUGCACAGGUGCUGCAUGGCUGUCGUCAGCUCGUGUCGUGAGAUGUCGGGUUAAGUCCCUUAACGAGCGAAACCCUUGCCGUUAGUUGCCAACGGGUAAUGCCGGGGACUCUAGCGGGACUGCCGUGGUUAACACGGA